RNAcentral lists this ribosomal RNA (253 nucleotides) under uncultured bacterium. RNAcentral's name for it is "partial 16S ribosomal RNA". It matches the Rfam family "Bacterial small subunit ribosomal RNA", at positions 524 to 776 of the family's 1533-position model. The record is from RNAcentral.
UACGUAGGGGGCAAGCGUUGUCCGGAAUUAUUGGGCGUAAAGCGCGCGCAGGCGGUUUCUUAAGUCUGAUGUGAAAGCCCACGGCUCAACCGUGGAGGGUCAUUGGAAACUGGGGAACUGGAGUGCAGGAGAGGGGAGUGGAAUUCCUGGUGUAGCGGUGAAAUGCGUAGAUAUCAGGAGGAACACCAGUGGCGAAGGCGGCUCUCUGGCCUGUAACUGACGCUGAGGCGCGAAAGCGUGGGGAGCGAACAGG